Molecule: long non-coding RNA, 1329 nt
Filed under: Homo sapiens (human)
Lineage: Eukaryota; Metazoa; Chordata; Mammalia; Primates; Hominidae
Description: HSALNT0322849
Source: RNAcentral
UCCAUCCCAGACCAAUUGUUUCAGGAUCACUAGGCAUCAGUAUUUUUUCAAGCCUCCCCAGGUGGUUUGUACAUGCAACCAGCUUUGAGAACUGCUAGUUUAAAGCAAAGACCAGAGGGAGACAAUAAACAGACACACCUGUAGUUGUUCCCAAACUUUAUUAUAGGGAAAAGUCACCUGGAGAACUUGUUUAAAUUGUGGAUUCUCCCAAAACCACCCCACCCUAGCCCCAGAAGAUCAGAUUCAGUUGAUCUGGAUGAGCCUAGGGCUCUACAUUUGCCACAAUCUCCGCAGUGAUCCUGAGGGAGGAGAAACCCCAGGGAAAAUAUGGCUAAUGAGGAUGAAAAAACAGACAAGAGGUGGAACUUCAAUGAAGAGGAAAACUCUUCCUAGCCUUGGUCGAGAGCGAGCACACUAAAACUCUGCCCUGAAAGAGGUGCAUGACAUCUAGUUUGAAUAGAAGACUCCUGAAUUAUAACUCUUUUUCUUUCUGUAAUUCAUAGAUAUUAUUCCAGUCUUCUGCAUUCUAGUGUUGCAGAUGCUCUUUAUUUAGAUGAGGAAGCUACCUUCUGUUUGCUGAAUGUAUUAUUAUAAAUCUCCAAGUGUUUCUUGAACUCAUGGGGGAAACCCCCUCACUAGUAGUCUCUGCUGGUGCUUCUACAGAACUGAAGACUUCACGGAACCUGGGAGCCUACAGACCUCAGUAAAGGCCUAACUAAGAAGAUAUAGCUGAAUAAAAAUUGGACAACAAAGAAAGAUGUCAAUGUUUCUAUUGCCAUCAGGCAAUAUUAAUUUUAACUUUUAAGAUGUUUAUUUUGGGCCUUCCCCCACGUGUCACUCCCUUAGUACUGUUUUCUAGGAGAUAAAAGCUACAUUCAUAAAAUAAUCCAUGUUGUUGGUUAAUAAUUUAUUCUUUCAAUGAAAGUUGUUUGCAUUUCAAUCACAACCUUUUAUAAACACUAACUUAAUCUAAAGGCAUGUAUCUGUUUGUAGGACUUUUAAAUAUGACAAGCUAGGGAGGAAGACAUUUUCUUUGUGAAUCCCAUUAUAAUCAUCCUAGAAAUGGAAUUGCUGUAGCAUAGGAUGUGAACACAUUCAGCUUUCUUAGAUAUUACUAGGAAUUUUACCAAUAGCAGUGCAUAAAACUGUUGUUACUCCUCACCCUCUGCAACGCUUGAAGGUAUAAGAUAUUUAAAGUUAUAGAAGUCUGAUAUGUGUAAAAUAUUAAAUUAUUGUGACUUUAAUUUUUAUUAUUUAUUAUUUGCCAUUUGGAUAACUUCUUCUGUGAAUUUACUGUUCAUAUUACUUGUUUGACGCUAGAUUUUUUUU